CCUACGGGGUGCAGCAGUGAGGAAUAUUGGUCAAUGGGCGGAAGCCUGAACCAGCCAAGUAGCGUGCAGGAUGACGGCCCUACGGGUUGUAAACUGCUUUUAUACGGGAAUAACGCGCCUUACGUGUAGGGCUUUGCAUGUACCGUAUGAAUAAGGACCGGCUAAUUCCGUGCCAGCAGCCGCGGUAAUACGGAAGGUCCGGGCGUUAUCCGGAUUUAUUGGGUUUAAAGGGAGCGUAGGCCGCAUGUCAAGCGUGCUGUGAAAUGUCCGGGCUCAACCCGGGCCUUGCAGCGGGCACUGGGGUGCUUGAGUCCGCGGAAAGAAGGCGGAAUGCGGCGUGUAGCGGUG
Molecule: ribosomal RNA, 348 nt
Filed under: uncultured bacterium
Lineage: Bacteria
Description: partial 16S ribosomal RNA
Rfam family: Bacterial small subunit ribosomal RNA
Source: RNAcentral